This 508-nucleotide ribosomal RNA is filed under the name uncultured bacterium. Its description in RNAcentral is "partial 16S ribosomal RNA". It matches the Rfam family "Bacterial small subunit ribosomal RNA", at positions 29 to 523 of the family's 1533-position model. The record is from RNAcentral.
AUUGAACGCUGGCGGCAUGCCUUACACAUGCAAGUCGAACGACAGCGUGGGAGAAGCUUGCUUUUCCUGCCGGCGAGUGGCGAACGGGUGAGUAAUACAUCGGAACGUGCGCUGUAGUGGGGGAUAACUAGUCGAAAGAUUAGCUAAUACCGCAUACGACCUGAGGGUGAAAGUGGGGGACCGCAAGGCCUCAUGCUAUAGGAGCGGCAGAUCGCUGAUGAGCUAGUUGGGGGGGUAAAGGCUUACCAAGGCGACGAUCAGUAGCGGGCCUGAGAGGACGAUCAGCCACACUGGGACUGAGACACGGCCCAGACUCCUACGGGAGGCAGCAGUGGGGAAUUUUGGACAAUGGGCGAAAGCCUGAUCCAGCAAUGCCGCGUGUGUGAAGAAGGCCUUCGGGUUGUAAAGCACUUUUGUCCGGGAAGAAAUGGCUCUGGUUAAUACCUGGGGUCGAUGACGGUACCGGAAGAAUAAGGACCGGCUAACUACGUGCCAGCAGCCGCCGCAG